CAUUUAAAAUUGCGCUGUAAAAAAUCCUGCACUGUACAAAUCACUGGAGGGUUGACAAUUUGUGUUUCAGAGCAAAAGUCCAGAAGAGUAUUCACUAUCCUUAAGGAUAUCAAUAAAAGUUUCCAGAAGAUGAAAGUUACCUAGAAGGCACAAGAAAGAAGAAAAUAGAAAAGAUGCAACAAUACACAAAAAAAUACUUACCUCAUAUUAGUACAGAAAGAUUAUUUAUAUAAGAAAAUCUUGCUCUUUGAGCUAAAACUUGCACACACUAAAAAUGGGGGUGGAGAGAAAGGGAGAGAAAAGACUACAGUUAAAGACAUUAA
This is a long non-coding RNA of Talpa occidentalis (Iberian mole), 323 nucleotides long. RefSeq lists it as uncharacterized. The transcript has 3 exons. Lineage: Eukaryota; Metazoa; Chordata; Mammalia; Eulipotyphla; Talpidae. The record is from RefSeq and is a predicted model, not a curated record.